UGAGAGGGUGACCGGCCACACUGGGACUGAGAUACGGGCCAGACUCCUACGGGAGGUAGCAGUGGGGAAUAUUGCACAAUGGGCGCAAGCCUGAUGCAGCGACGCCGCGUGAGGGAUGACGGCCUUCGGGUUGUAAACCUCUUUCAAUAGGGACGAAGCGCAAGUGACGGUACCUAUAGAAGAAGGACCGGCCAACUACGUGCCAGCAGCCGCGGUAAUACGUAGGGUCCGAGCGUUGUCCGGAAUUACUGGGCGUAAAGAGCUCGUAGGUGGUUUGUCACGUUGUUCGUGAAAACUCACAGCUUAACUGUGGGCGUGCGGGCGAUACGGGCAGACUAGAGUACUGCAGGGGAGACUGGAAUUCCUGGUGUAGCGGUGGAAUGCGCAGAUAUCAGGAGGAACACCGGUGGCGAAGGCGGGUCUCUGGGCAGUAACUGACGCUGAGGAGCGAAAGCGUGGGGAGCGAACAGGAUUAGAUACCCUGGUAGUCCACGCCGUAAACGGUGGGUACUAGGUGUGGGUUUCCUUCCUUGGGAUCCGUGCCGUAGCUAACGCAUUAAGUACCCCGCCUGGGGAGUACGGCCGCAAGGCUAAAACUCAAAGAAAUUGACGGGGGCCCGCACAAGCGGCGGAGCAUGUGGAUUAAUUCGAUGCAACGCGAAGAACCUUACCUGGGUUUGACAUGCACAGGACGCCAGUAGAGAUAUUGGUUCCCUUGUGGCCUGUGUGCAGGUGGUGCAUGGCUGUCGUCAGCUCGUGUCGUGAGAUGUUGGGUUAAGUCCCGCAACGAGCGCAACCCUUGUCUCAUGUUGCCAGCACGUAAUGGUGGGGACUCGUGAGAGACUGCCGGGGUCAACUCGGAGGAAGGUGGGGAUGACGUCAAGUCAUCAUGCCCCUUAUGUCCAGGGCUUCACACAUGCUACAAUGGCCGGUACAAAGGGCUGCGAUGCCGUGAGGUGGAGCGAAUCCUUUCAAAGCCGGUCUCAGUUCGGAUCGGGGUCUGCAACUCGACCCCGUGAAGUCGGAGUCGCUAGUAAUCGCAGAUCAGCAACGCUGCGGUGAAUACGUUCCCGGGCCUUGUACACACCUCCCGUCACGUCA
This 1101-nucleotide ribosomal RNA is filed under the name Mycolicibacterium sp. RNAcentral's name for it is "bacterial SSU rRNA". It matches the Rfam family "Bacterial small subunit ribosomal RNA", at positions 293 to 1404 of the family's 1533-position model. Lineage: Bacteria; Bacillati; Actinomycetota; Actinomycetes; Mycobacteriales; Mycobacteriaceae. The record is from RNAcentral.